GGUUUUUUAGUAUAUUUAGUAUAUUUGAUUUCCAAUCAAAUGGUGAUAAGGACUA
This 55-nucleotide transfer RNA is filed under the name Caenorhabditis sp. Its description in RNAcentral is "tRNA-Gly". Lineage: Eukaryota; Metazoa; Nematoda; Chromadorea; Rhabditida; Rhabditidae. The record is from RNAcentral.